RNAcentral lists this long non-coding RNA (817 nucleotides) under Ananas comosus (pineapple). Its description in RNAcentral is "long non-coding RNA (ACOM_LNC009412)". The record is from RNAcentral. Lineage: Eukaryota; Viridiplantae; Streptophyta; Magnoliopsida; Poales; Bromeliaceae.
CGUACCGGUACUCAACACUGAAAUCCUGCACUUUGCGGAUUUCAGUGUCAACUCCACUCUCGCCUCGCGUCGAGUCUAUUUUGCAUCCAUUUCGCGCCAAAACGACUUCGACUUGUCUCUACACUCUCCAGAUGUGUCAACAAGCCUCAAAUACUGAAAUCUCACGAGCAACCAAACACUAGGAUACUACAUUUAAAUUUUGAUAUUUUCAUUUAAAAUAUAAAUUUAAAUUUUAAAUCAAAAUUUAAAUUUUUAAUUUAAAAUUUAAAACCUAAAUUUAAAAUUAAAAUUAAAAUUUGAAUAUUUAGAAUUUACAACUAAAAAUUUAAAAUUUAAAAUUCAAUAUUUAAAAUUUAAAAUUUUAAAAUUUGAAUUUUAAAAAUAUGAUAUUUGUAAUUUACAAAUUAAAACUUAUAAUUUUAAAUUUUAAAAUUUCAAUUCAAUUCUUAAAUUUCAAAUUUUAAGUUUUAUCUUAAAUUUAAAAUUUAAAUUUUAAAUUUGAGAUUUGAAAGGUAAAAUUUGAAUUUUAAAUUUUGAAAUUUAAAAUUUGACAAUUCAAAUUCAAAAGUAAGAAAUUAAAAAUUAAAAUUUGAGUUUAAAUUUAAAUUUGAAUAUAAAAUAAAAUUUAAAUUGAAAUUUGAAUCUAAAAUCAGAAUUGAAUUUCAGGGAGCAGGUUUUAGCUAUUUCUGAUUUUGUGCCUCGAAAAUAAAAAAAACUGAAUCCGAUUUUAAUAACAAGGUUGUCAAAUACUCUAUUUGAGCCGAAAAUUACUUUUUGAUCAAAAAUCGCUUUUCAAAAGUUAGGCCAAAUAACCGCU